UACGGAGGAUCCAAGCGUUAUCCGGAUUCAUUGGGUUUAAAGGGUGCGUAGGCGGAACGAUAAGUCAGUGGUGAAAGCCUGCAGCUUAACUGCAGAACUGCCUUUGAUACUGUCGAUCUUGAGUACAUUUGAUGAGGGCGGAAUGUGUCAUGUAGCGGUGAAAUGCUUAGAUAUGACACAGAACACCGAUUGCGAAGGCAGCUCUCAAAACUGUAACUGACGCUGAGGUGCGAAAGCGUGGGGAGCAAACAGG
Molecule: ribosomal RNA, 253 nt
Filed under: uncultured bacterium
Lineage: Bacteria
Description: partial 16S ribosomal RNA
Rfam family: Bacterial small subunit ribosomal RNA
Source: RNAcentral